CGCAUUCUUACAUCCGAAGUCGUUGCUUUUAUCUCCCACCUUGCCGCUACCGUUGUCAUCUUCUUGGUUUUCCAUCAGCACAUGGCCCCUACAGAUCAACUAGUUUUCAGAAAGAAACUGUUGAGAUUAAAAGGUUGUGAAUUAUGAAAAUCAUGUGACGAUUCAAAAUUAAAGAGCAAAGCGGAAAGUUUUGUUAGUGUUAUUAUGGAUGAUAGUUUUGUGUUUUGGGUUGAUGUCACUGUUUCCCCACAACUUAUAUAGGUUUUGAUCUCAUUUGGUCACUCGUUUAUCUUUUUGUCAUUCAAAGUCCUAAACUUUCAAGAAAUAUAUCAAAAAGGUCAUUAUUAGAAGGAAGAAUGGGAUAGCCUGUUAUAAGAUGACGUGACAUUCCAUAUAGAACUUACUUACAUGGAGGUUUAAGUGGCGUCCACAUGGCACUUUCUCUUUAAUUAUACUAGGUGUGAAACCUGUAUACUACACAUGUUGAUUAAAAUUAAAUUAAAUAUCAAGAUGUAAACAUUAAGCAAUUUUAAAACUAAAAUUUUGAAAAAAAUACAAAGAAAAUGGUGAAUAAGUAAGCAAUU
Molecule: long non-coding RNA, 584 nt
Organism: Lactuca sativa (garden lettuce)
Lineage: Eukaryota; Viridiplantae; Streptophyta; Magnoliopsida; Asterales; Asteraceae
Source: RefSeq, a predicted model, not a curated record